AAAAUAAAAAUAGAAUUGGAACUGAAACCUUCAAUAAUGAUGACAGCAAAAGGCUUCAUUGUCCUGAGAACAACAGCUAACACAGCCAUUUCCCACAGCAGCGGGGGCAUGAAAGCCUAGUUCCUCAGCUGUGUGUGCAGAGGGUGGGAGUCAAGAGUGCUGAGCAGAGAACAAGUCCUGGAAGGCUGGAGUGCUCAGCAGAGAUUUCAGAAGUCGCCCAGAGCUGGAAGACACUGGCACUGAGACCCAGCUAGAGUGGAGAGACAAGGUGCACAUGCUGUGACUUCCUAUGAGAUCCCAGAAAGGCCACACACAGUAUCACCUGUCAUCUGCCUGUUCCCUGUGCGUGAGGAGAGCUGGAAGACAACAUGCAGUCAGAAUCGGGACAGAACCGAAGAGGCCUCGCUCCUGCAGGGAAGGAGUCUACAAUGCACAAGCCACCGUCCGCUGG
Long non-coding RNA from Lemur catta (Ring-tailed lemur), 451 nucleotides. RefSeq lists it as uncharacterized. Lineage: Eukaryota; Metazoa; Chordata; Mammalia; Primates; Lemuridae. The transcript has 3 exons. The record is from RefSeq and is a predicted model, not a curated record.